GAUGAACGCUGGCGGCGUGCCUAAUACAUGCAAGUAGAACGCUGAAGGAAGGAGCUUGCUCUUUCCGGAUGAGUUGCGAACGGGUGAGUAACGCGUAGGUAACCUGCCUGGUAGCGGGGGAUAACUAUUGGAAACGAUAGCUAAUACCGCAUAACAGUAGAUGUUGCAUGAUAUCUACUUAAAAGGUGCAAUUGCACCACUACCAGAUGGACCUGCGUUGUAUUAGCUAGUUGGUGAGGUAACGGCUCACCAAGGCGACGAUACAUAGCCGACCUGAGAGGGUGAUCGGCCACACUGGGACUGAGACACGGCCCAGACUCCUACGGGAGGCAGCAGUAGGGAAUCUUCGGCAAUGGACGGAAGUCUGGCCGAGCAACGCCGCGUGAGUGAAGAAGGUUUUCGGAUCGUAAAGCUCUGUUGUAAGAGAAGAACGAGUGUGAGAGUGGAAAGUUCACACUGUGACGGUAUCUUACCAGAAAGGGACGGCUGACUACGUG
Molecule: ribosomal RNA, 497 nt
Filed under: uncultured bacterium
Lineage: Bacteria
Description: partial 16S ribosomal RNA
Rfam family: Bacterial small subunit ribosomal RNA
Source: RNAcentral